GUUGUAUGGUUAAGUGACUAAGCGUACACGGUGGAUGCUUGGCAGUCAGAGGCGAUGAAGGACGUAUUAACUUGCGAUAAGCCCAGAUUAGGCAGUAAAAGCCACUUGAGUCUG
RNAcentral lists this ribosomal RNA (114 nucleotides) under Photobacterium phosphoreum. Its description in RNAcentral is "partial 23S ribosomal RNA". It matches the Rfam family "Bacterial large subunit ribosomal RNA", at positions 1 to 107 of the family's 2925-position model. The record is from RNAcentral. Lineage: Bacteria; Pseudomonadati; Pseudomonadota; Gammaproteobacteria; Vibrionales; Vibrionaceae.